Molecule: ribosomal RNA, 437 nt
Filed under: Klebsiella pneumoniae
Lineage: Bacteria; Pseudomonadati; Pseudomonadota; Gammaproteobacteria; Enterobacterales; Enterobacteriaceae
Description: bacterial SSU rRNA
Rfam family: Bacterial small subunit ribosomal RNA
Source: RNAcentral
UUGAACGCUGGCGGCAGGCCUAACACAUGCAAGUCGAGCGGUAGCACAGAGAGCUUGCUCUCGGGUGACGAGCGGCGGACGGGUGAGUAAUGUCUGGGAAACUGCCUGAUGGAGGGGGAUAACUACUGGAAACGGUAGCUAAUACCGCAUAACGUCGCAAGACCAAAGUGGGGGACCUUCGGGCCUCAUGCCAUCAGAUGUGCCCAGAUGGGAUUAGCUAGUAGGUGGGGUAACGGCUCACCUAGGCGACGAUCCCUAGCUGGUCUGAGAGGAUGACCAGCCACACUGGAACUGAGACACGGUCCAGACUCCUACGGGAGGCAGCAGUGGGGAAUAUUGCACAAUGGGCGCAAGCCUGAUGCAGCCAUGCCGCGUGUGUGAAGAAGGCCUUCGGGUUGUAAAGCACUUUCAGCGGGGAGGAAGGCGUUAAGGUUAAU